GAUGAAGAACGUAGCGAAAUGCGAUAAGUAGUGUGAAUUGCAGAAUUCAGUGAAUCAUCGAAUCUUUGAACGCACAUUGCGCCCCUUGGUAUCCCGAGGGGCAUGCCUGUUCGAGCGUCAUUUCACCACUCAAGCCUGGCUUGGUGUGGGGCGACGUCCUCUUUGGGGACGCGCCUCGAAACGCUCGGCGGCGUGGCACCGGCUUUAAGCGUAGCAGAAUCUUUCGCUUUGGAAGUCGGGGCCCCGUCUGCCGGAAGACCUGCUCGCAAGGUUGACCUCGGAUCAGGCAGGGAUACCCGCUGAACUUAAGCAUAUCAAUAAGCGGAGGA
This 329-nucleotide unclassified non-coding RNA is filed under the name soil metagenome. RNAcentral's name for it is "partial contains 5.8S ribosomal RNA, internal transcribed spacer 2, and large subunit ribosomal RNA". The stretch from base 1 to 120 matches the Rfam family "5.8S ribosomal RNA", at positions 35 to 154 of the family's 154-position model. The record is from RNAcentral.